UGAAUGGCUAUGUCAAACAGUUUACUGCCAUGGGAUGGGACUGCGGCCUAUCAGCUUGUUGGUGAGGUAAUGGCCCACCAAGGCGAUUACAGUACGGGCCUGAGAGGAGAAGCCCGGAGAUGGGUACUGAGACACGGACCCAGGCCCUAUGGGGCGCAGCAGGCGAGAAACCUUAGCAAUGUGCGAAAGCACGACUGGGUCAGUCCGAGUGAUUCCUGAUAAAGGAGUCUUUUGCCUGUCCUAAAAACACAGGUGAAUAAGGGGUGGGCAAGUCUGGUGUCAGCCGCCGCGGUAAUACCAGCACCUCGAGUGGUCAGGACGUUUAUUGGGCCUAAAGCAUCCGUAGCCAGCGCUGCAAGUCUUCGGUUAAAUCCACCUGCUCAACAGAUGGGCUGCUGGAGAUACUACAGCGCUAGGGAGUGGGAGAGGCAGACGGUAUUCAGUGGGUAGGGGUAAAAUCCUCUGAUCCAUUGAGGACCACCAGUGGCGAAGGCGGUCUGCCAGAACACGUUCGACGGUGAGGGAUGAAAGCUGGGGGAGCAAACCGGAUUAGAUACCCGGGUAGUCCCAGCUGUAAACGAUGCAAACUCGGUGAUGCAU
RNAcentral lists this ribosomal RNA (600 nucleotides) under uncultured archaeon. Its description in RNAcentral is "bacterial SSU rRNA". It matches the Rfam family "Archaeal small subunit ribosomal RNA", at positions 172 to 779 of the family's 1478-position model. The record is from RNAcentral.